This 253-nucleotide ribosomal RNA is filed under the name uncultured bacterium. Its description in RNAcentral is "partial 16S ribosomal RNA". It matches the Rfam family "Bacterial small subunit ribosomal RNA", at positions 524 to 776 of the family's 1533-position model. The record is from RNAcentral.
UACGGAGGAUCCAAGCGUUAUCCGGAUUCAUUGGGUUUAAAGGGUGCGCAGGCGGAAUAAUAAGUCAGUGGUGAAAGCCUACAGCUUAACUGUAGAACUGCCAUUGAUACUGUUAUUCUUGAGUGUUGUUGAGGUAGGCGGAAUGUGUCAUGUAGCGGUGAAAUGCUUAGAUAUGACACAGAACACCGAUCGCGAAGGCAGCUUACCAAGCAACAACUGACGCUCAUGCACGAAAGCGUGGGGAUCAAACAGG